This 500-nucleotide ribosomal RNA is filed under the name uncultured Eubacteriaceae bacterium. RNAcentral describes it as "bacterial SSU rRNA". It matches the Rfam family "Bacterial small subunit ribosomal RNA", at positions 94 to 582 of the family's 1533-position model. Lineage: Bacteria; Bacillati; Bacillota; Clostridia; Eubacteriales; Eubacteriaceae. The record is from RNAcentral.
AGUGGCGAACGGGUGAGUAACACGUGGGUAACCUACCAUAUAGACAGGGACAACAGUUGGAAACGACUGCUAAUACCUGAUAACAUAAGCUAUCGCAUGAUAGGUUAUGGAAAGGGGCGUAUGCCUCACUAUGUGAUGGACCCGCGGCGCAUUAGCUAGUUGGUGAGAUAAAAGCUCACCAAGGCGACGAUGCGUAGCCGACCUGAGAGGGUGAACGGCCACAUUGGGACUGAGACACGGCCCAGACUCCUACGGGAGGCAGCAGUAGGGAAUUUUCCACAAUGGGGGCGACCCUGAUGGAGCAAUGCCGCGUGAGAGAAGAAGGCCUUCGGGUUGUAAAUCUCUGUUGUAAGGNAAGAAAAUUGAUAAGAGGAAAUGCUUAUUAAGUGACGGUACCUUACCAGAAAGCCACGGCUAACUACGUGCCAGCAGCCGCGGUAAUACGUAGGUGGCGAGCGUUAUCCGGAAUUAUUGGGCGUAAAGGGUGCGCANGCGGUUGU